CACUUGCCUGACUGAGUCUAAAUC
Molecule: microRNA, 24 nt
Filed under: Macaca fascicularis (crab-eating macaque)
Lineage: Eukaryota; Metazoa; Chordata; Mammalia; Primates; Cercopithecidae
Also listed under: 1 other name
Description: novel_miR101-5p
Source: RNAcentral